GAUGAACGCUGGCGGCGUGCCUAAUGCAUGCAAGUCGAGCGAACGGACGAGGAGCUUGCUUCUCUGAUGUUAGCGGCGGACGGGUGAGUAACACGUGGAUAACCUACCUAUAAGACUGGGAUAACUUCGGGAAACCGGAGCUAAUACCGGAUGAUAUUUUGAACCGCAUGGUUCAAAAGUGAAAGACGGUCUUGCUGACACUUAUAGAUGGAUCCGCGCUGCAUUAGCUAGUUGGUAAGGUAACGGCUUACCAAGGCAACGAUGCAUAGCCGACCUGAGAGGGUGAUCGGCCACACUGGAACUGAGACACGGUCCAGACUCCUACGGGAGGCAGCAGUAGGGAAUCUUCCGCAAUGGGCGAAAGCCUGACGGAGCAACGCCGCGUGAGUGAUGAAGGUCUUCGGAUCGUAAAACUCUGUUAUUAGGGAAGAACAUAUGUGUAAGUAACUGUGCACAUCUUGACGGUACCUAAUCAGAAAGCCACGGCUAACUACGUG
This 497-nucleotide ribosomal RNA is filed under the name uncultured bacterium. RNAcentral's name for it is "partial 16S ribosomal RNA". It matches the Rfam family "Bacterial small subunit ribosomal RNA", at positions 28 to 507 of the family's 1533-position model. The record is from RNAcentral.